RNAcentral lists this ribosomal RNA (442 nucleotides) under uncultured bacterium. RNAcentral's name for it is "partial 16S ribosomal RNA". It matches the Rfam family "Bacterial small subunit ribosomal RNA", at positions 338 to 795 of the family's 1533-position model. The record is from RNAcentral.
CCUACGGGAGGCUGCAGUAGGGAAUUUUUCACAAUGGGCGAAAGCCUGAUGGAGCAACGCCGCGUGCAGGAUGAAGGCCUUCGGGUUGUAAACUGCUUUUAUAAGCGAGAAAUAUGAUGGUAACUUAUGAAUAAGGAUCGGCUAACUACGUGCCAGCAGCCGCGGUCAUACGUAGGAUCCGAGCAUUAUCCGGAGUGACUGGGUGUAAAGAGUUGCGUAGGUGGCAUAAUAAGUAGCUAGUGAAAUCGGGUGGCUCAACCAUUCAGACUAUUAGCUAAACUGUUAAGCUCGAGACCGUUAGGGGUAACUGGAAUUUCUAGUGUAGGGGUGAAAUCCGUAGAUAUUAGAAGGAACACCAAUAGCGAAGGCAGGUUACUGGGACGGUUCUGACACUAAGGCACGAAAGCGUAGGGAGCAAACGGGAUUAGAUACCCCAGUAGUC